Vault RNA from Ictalurus punctatus (channel catfish), 91 nucleotides. Its record names the gene Vault. It matches the Rfam family "Vault RNA". Rfam says of the family: This family of RNAs are found as part of the enigmatic vault ribonucleoprotein complex. The record is from Ensembl. NCBI's taxonomy places the organism in Eukaryota, Metazoa, Chordata, Actinopteri, Siluriformes, Ictaluridae.
GCGUCAGCGUAGCCAAGCGGUUACUUCCAGUGAAUUCUAUUCGCUAUCUCGGGCAACCAGGUUCGAACCGCAGGCGCUGUCUGACGUUUUC